GCUCUUCCCCGCAUGCCCCAGGGCCGGACGGGAGGAAAGCGGGAGACCGCGAGUACGAAGGCGCCGGGGACACCCUCCAGGAAAAGCGGCUAGCGUCAGAGCGCGGGCGGCCCGUACCAAGAACGGACACACGUGGCCUGGGCGAGAAGCCCGAGGCUAGCGAGACAACUGUUGCUAAGGAACUCUGCAAGACUGCUUCGCAAGCUAGCGAGAAGAAGCGCCCGGGGGCGAACAGCCCCGCGGGCCGCAGCGAAGAGGCAGGGGUGACUGUUUACCAAAAACACAGCUCUGUGCGAAGCCGCAAGGCGACGUAUACGGGGUGAUGCCUGCCCGGUGCUGGAAGGUUAAGGGGAGGGGUCAGGCCGCAAGGCCGAAGCCCCGAGCCGAAGCCCCAGUGAACGGCGGCCGUAACUAUAACGGUCCUAAGGUAGCGAAAUUCCUUGUCGGGCAAGUUCCGACGCGCAUGAAUGGUAUAACAAUCCCUGCACUGUCUCGGCAGCAGACUCGGCGAAAUCGUAAUACCGGUGAAGAUGCCGGUUACCCGCGACUAGACGGAAAGACCCCAUAGAGCUUCACUGCAGGUCGGCGCUGGGCUGGCCAGCGGCUCGCACAGGAUAGGAGGAAGGCUUCGAUCCGGGACCCCUGGGCCCCGGGGAGCCGUCGUUGGGAUACCUCCCCUGCCGCUAGCCAUCCCUAACCGGGACCCUGGACGGGCCCCGGGACAGCGCCCGCCGGACAGUUUGACUGGGGCGGUCGCCUCCCAAAGAGUAACGGAGGCGUUCGAAGGUGCCCUCGGCACGGUAGGAAACCGUGCCAUAGAGUGCAAACGCAUAAGGGCGCCUGACUGCAAGGCCGGCAGGCCGAGCAGACGCGAAAGCGGGAGUUAGUGACCCGGCGGUUCCAGCGUGGAAUGGCCGUCGCUUAACGGACAAAAGCUACCUUGGGGAUAACAGGCUGAUCCGGUCCAAGAGUUCACUUCGACGACCGGGUUUGGCACCUCGAUGUCGGCUCAUCGCAUCCUGGAGGGGCAACACCUUCCAAGGGUUUGGCUGUUCGCCAAUCAAAGCGGUACGCGAGCUGGGUUCAAAACGUCGUGAGACAGUUUGGUCCCUAUCUGUCGUGGGCGUGGGAGGACCUAGGGGAUCCCCCCCCAGUACGCAAGGACCGGGGGGGACGAGGCUACGGUGCACCGGUUGGGACGCCAGUCCCACGGCCGGGCAGCCGCCCUCGGGACGGAUAAGCGCUGAGAGCAUCUAAGCGCGAAGCCGGCCCCGGGGUCAGUCCUCCGUUGGACAUGUUCCAUGAAGGGCCCGGGAAAGUACACCCGGUUGAUGGACGCCAGGCGCAGGCACCGCGAGGUGCACAGCCGUGGCGCUCCAAUGGCCCGAGACGCUUGUCGUG
RNAcentral lists this ribosomal RNA (1401 nucleotides) under human gut metagenome. RNAcentral describes it as "bacterial LSU rRNA". It matches the Rfam family "Bacterial large subunit ribosomal RNA", at positions 1508 to 2925 of the family's 2925-position model. The record is from RNAcentral.